GACGAACGCUGGCGGCGCGCUUAACACAUGCAAGUCGAACGGAAAGGCCUGCUUUCCCUUGUGGAUUGCGGGUACUCGAGUGGCGAACGGGUGAGUAACACGUGAGUGAUCUGCCCCCAACUUGGGUAUAAGCCUGGGAAACUGGGUCUAAUUCCCGAUAGGACUGCAGGGUGGUGCCUGUGGUGGAAAACGAUUUUCUAGUGGUUGGGGAUGAGCUCGCGGCCUAUCAGCUUGUUGGUGGGGUAAUGGCCUACCAAGGCGGCGACGGGUAGCCGGCCUGGGAGGGUGGACGGCCCCAUUGGGACUGAGAUACGGCCCAGACUCCUACGGGAGGCAGCAGUGGGGAAGAUUACACAAUGGGCGGAAGCCUGAUGCAGCGACGCCGCGUGGGGGAUGACGGCCUUCGGGUUGUAAACUCCUUUCGACCGCGAGGAAGCCACCUGGUUGGAAGGGUGGUGACGGUAGUGGUAGAAGAAGCACCGGCUAACUACGUG
RNAcentral lists this ribosomal RNA (494 nucleotides) under uncultured bacterium. Its description in RNAcentral is "partial 16S ribosomal RNA". It matches the Rfam family "Bacterial small subunit ribosomal RNA", at positions 28 to 507 of the family's 1533-position model. The record is from RNAcentral.